Molecule: ribosomal RNA, 406 nt
Filed under: uncultured bacterium
Lineage: Bacteria
Description: partial 16S ribosomal RNA
Rfam family: Bacterial small subunit ribosomal RNA
Source: RNAcentral
AUUGAACGCUGGCGGCAGGCCUAACACAUGCAAGUCGAACGAGUGGCGGACGGGUUAGUUAUGUCUGGGCAACUGCCCGAUGGAGGGGGAUAACUACUGGACACGGUAGCUACUACCGCAUAACAUAGGAUGUGCCCAGAUGGGAAUAGCUAGUUGGUGGGGUAACGGCUCACCGGGGCCACGAUCCCUAGCUGGUCUGAGAGGAUGACCAGCCACACUGGAACUGAGACACGGUCCAGACUCCUACGGGAGGCAGCAGUGGGGAAUAUUGCACAAUGGGCGCAAGCCUGAUGCAGCCAUGACGCGUGUAUGAAGAAGGCCUUCGGGUUGUAAAGUACUUUCAGCGGGGAGGCGUUACUCGCAGAAUAAGCACCGGCUAACUCCGUGCCAGCAGCCGCGGUAAUAC